Molecule: long non-coding RNA, 4097 nt
Organism: Felis catus (domestic cat)
Lineage: Eukaryota; Metazoa; Chordata; Mammalia; Carnivora; Felidae
Exons: 5
Source: RefSeq, a predicted model, not a curated record
UUGAGGGAGGGGGAGGGGAGGAGCGCGGCGGGGCUGGGGCCCUGGUAAGGCCCGAGCCUGGGCCCCGUUCCGAGCCGCAGAGCAGCCACCGCGGCGCGGUCCCCGCCCCGGCUCGCCUGCCCGCCGCAGUUUUUUCCUCCCAGAUGCGGAGGCUGCACCGCGGUCCAGGGCAGGGUGAGCGCCAGGCAGCGGGACACCAGGCAGGGGCAGGUCCCACGGCGACCUGGGACUGGGGCUUCUGGGACCGGACCCCCUGUGGGACUCAGGUUUGUGGGGCUUUUGCCGUUUCUCCUUUAUAGGGAAGUGAGGGCAGUGGAGACUUCUUGCUCAGUGACGGACUUGACAGUCUUAGAGACUAAAUGCUGGACGUCAGGUUUAAGAGGCAUUAAAAACGUGUGAUUGUACAGCUUUUAUCCCCUUACGGGGAUUUUACCUCCUUUGUAACUUCUCUGAGCAAUGCUCAGAGGACAGAGGCGCAGCGUGGCCUAAGGGGCGCUUAAUUGUUCUGGCUUCCAUUUCUUCCCUUGGAGAGGUCAGCCUUUUGCAGUGGAGAUAGCUCCCUAGCACGUCAUUCAUCGGAGUGUGCUUCAGACCAGGGGCUGGAUGGGACUUAAUGCUUCCAGUCUUGUCUUGCACCUACUGGAUGUGUGAUCUUAGGUAGCCCUGUGCCUCAGUUUCCUCUUCUGUGAAAAUGGGACUGAUUGCUGUCUAUCCCAUAAGGUUGUUCUAAUAAACGAGUGAAUCCAUCCAUGUUGAACAGUUACAACUAAGCUUAUCAUAUAGUGAAUCUGGAGCGACGACCAGAUUGAGCAAGUAAGUGGCCCCCAAACAUCCAGCUUUGCAGCCAAGAACCAAAGACAGCUCUUAAUUUCAGCCCUAGGUCCUUGGCAGUUCCCGCCGGUGACUCCACAGUAAAAUGGAAAUUCCUAAUUAAGUGACUCUAUGGUGAAGCAUGCAUGUAUCAUCACCUUAUCUCGAAAAAGAUUUCCAUCAGCUGCACCUUUUCCCGCUCUCGGUCUCGGAGGGGUUAACCCGGCCAGGCUUUUUCUCGCCCGCCUCAGUUGUGUUGCAAUGUUAUUUCUUACCAGGUGACAGACAGGGCCUCUCCCCCUCUCGGGUUUGUCCUCUAUUCCAUGGAGGCAGCACUUGCGAGGCCCUCGGACCUUUCGGGGAGCCCACAUCCUCCGGGGCUAUGUGUCAGGGGUGUGUGUGAGGGCAUUCCUCGUUGUCAUCCCGAGUGUCUCCUAACAUGCCCUGCCUAGUACAGCCGCCAUAGUCAUUACUGGGAGUGUCUGCACAGUGAGUCCCCCCAGGGAGCCCUGACAUUGAUGUAAUGCUCACCCCCCUCCCGCCCCCGUGUGUUCAGAGCAACUGCAAAGCUCCGGGUAAUAAUGGUGAAGGAAAUUGAUUUCAUCCUCUCCCCGCCCCCUUUCUUCACACAUCAGAAAGGAGGGAUCCUAAUGGGCCCUGAUGCUAUCUGGGUGAUUGGGCAGAAAAGGGCAGCCCGGCUUGUCAGCGGUGAGUUCAGAGCUGCUGGGCACGUGGCCGUUUGUUUUGGGCAGGGUUUUACUUACCACGGUUUUGGGGCCCCAACUUCCCUUACGAUAAAAAGAGGUAAUAGGGGGAUGUACUGACAGAAGCCGGAAGGAGAGACACAGCCAGGCUUCCCGGCUCUGGCUCUGUCCCUCUUUCCCUCCCUCCGCUUUCUCUCCCUGCUCUUGCCCCCUCUCUGCUCUGUGCCAUCCCUGCCCACGGUCUCCUUCUGCUAAGUCCUAGGCUCUGCCCUGAAAUGUUCCUGGUGUCUGCGGCCCCGGCCCCUGUACGGCGGGGCAGCUGUCAAAACAGUCCUUCUUGUUUCACAGUUUCACUUUCCACCGUUCAUCUAUUCCGGAUUUUAGCUUUUCCAGAAGAGGAAUCUGACUGGCAGGCUUCACCGGGUCCUGGGUCAACAGCCCAGCGGUGAAUGGGCUGCCCAGGCAGCAAGUGCCCACCUGAAGAGAAAAGAGUCCUUAAGACUAAGGCCUGGGAAGCUUCUCUUUAUUUCCAACUGGACGUGAACACGAAGGACUUUUCAUUUGCCGCUGACUCUGGUUACCAACCCUGCGUAACACAACAUCCCCAAAGCUAGAGGCAUGAGACGGCCGUUCCUACCUGCGUUUGAUCAUGGGUUCUGGGGGUCAGCGGCUCUUCAUUCUGGCCUCAAGCAGGAGAAGGAUCAUGGCUACGUCUCCAAUUACCUCCUGGAGCCCGACAAGGAACCCGUAAGGUCUAUUUCUCCAAGUUCACUGCCUACAGGGAUGACUCCAGGAGGCUUAUUCUAAGCUCAGAUUCCUGGGUCCUACUCCCAGAGACUCGAAAUUCACUUGCCUUGCAGUGGGGUCCAGGAAUCUGCCUUUUGAAACAGCUUCCUUCCGUAAUACAGCUACAAGGACCGCGUGGACAGCACCCCGCUCAGCCGCUCAACCAUAAAUUCCAAAGGGACCAGGGACAAAGUCUUCCUGAUAGGAUGUUCUGGCCCCGAGUCCCGGCUCUUGCGACUUUGCGGCCACCUGACUUUGGACAGUUUCCUUUUUCUGGCCUCAACUUUCUUGUCUGUACGCUCAGGAGGUUGAGGUAGAGCCAUGUUUUCAAACUGGGCUCUGUCAUACCUCAGGGGGAUUGCACCUUGGCUACCCACCUCCAUUAAUCCAUAUAGCAAAUAUUCGUGGCACGGGUGGAUACCGGGGGUGUUACAGGAUCAGCGAUUAAUUAUCAUGAUGGGCGUUCUUUCCAAAGAAGGUGCAACAAAGGGUAAGAGGGCGCUCACAAAGAUGGCUUACGUUGUGCGUGUCCUUCCGCUUGAAUUGCCGUUUGGACAAACUGUUCCCGGGAUUGAAACUGCUGGCUUAGAUCAUCUUAAGGGUCCUUGCGGCAGGAAACCUUUUGUUCUGUGACGUUUCUUCGAUGAUUUGAUUUCUGAGCAACGUCAAAACAAGCAGAAUGCAGUUACUGGGUGUGAAAUCCGUCAGGGCCCCCCAGGUUAACCCUUUCGUUCCGGAAAAGAAACUUCAGGCUCCAGCACCUUAACCUGGGAAACUGAGUGAAAGGCAGACUGGGAAGCAAGCAGCCUGCCUGCUUGUGGGGGAAAAAGCAGGCGGGGCCGGGGGCGGGGGGCUCUGGACCCACGAGCCUUCCGGUUUUUGUCUGCAGAAUGGGCAGAUGGUACCUGGCCCCCAGAGUUGUUUUAAGGAGACAGGUUAUAUAUACAAAAUUAGUAGUUCGGUGCCAGAUACUUAGUAAGCAUUCAAUAAAUGAUGGCCAUUAUUAAUUUAAGUAUCUUUCUUAUGCAUAUUAUACUUGUCAACAUUCCUGCAAAUGUUUUAUAGAUGAGAAUGGAAAAGUACUCAGCACAGGAGCUGCCAAAUAUCAGGGUUCUGCCAGGCCAACUGCAUCUCUGGGGGAAGAAAGCCCUGUAAUUCUCUCUUCUUGAAACUACAUGCCCAUGGUGGCGGCCUUGAAAUUCUCAGUGUCCCUCUGCCCCAUGCCCUCCCCCCAGCGCCCUCCCCCCCCCCCCCCCCCCGCCAAAGGAGAGCAAGUUACUUUUCUCAGUAGAAAGCAAGCCAACACCCAAAUUUGGGAUAGGUUUCUACAUUGAGGUAGAAUAAAGAUGAUGCCGUAAUGUUGUGCCGUAAAUGUUGCGGAGAAAUUACAAAGAAGCCCUGAAAUCAUUCCUUUGUAUUUUUUGUAGUUGAACGCCCUAACUUUCCUUGAGACCAAACAUGCGUGCAUCUUUUAUUCUCUCUCUGGCCGGAUCCUUAAAACAGUACAGAGACUGAACACGGUUGGGAACACCUCUAUCACUUAGUUUAUGGGGUGCGACUCCACGGCUGAGCUUGGGGAAAACAUGUGGCCACAGCUUCCUUAUGUCUAAACUGAGGAUAACGAUAGACUUCACCCUCUAGGAUAAAUAGGGUGGUUAUUAGCCAUGCACACAGUAAGUGCACAGUACGUUAACUAUUGUUAUUUUCGCGUCUAUUGAUUUACUCGGUAUUUUGGUGCUCACUUAUGUAUUUUCAACUACAGACUCAUAAAAUAUAAAUUAAUGUUAGCUUCUUGCA